AGAGUUUGAUCAUGGCUCAGAACGAACGCUGGCGGCAGGCCUAACACAUGCAAGUCGAACGCUGUAGCAAUACAGAGUGGCAGACGGGUGAGUAACACGUGGGAAUCUUCCUAUCGGUACGGAAUAGCUCAGGGAAACUUGGGGUAAUACCGCAUACGCCCUUCGGGGGAAAGAUUUAUCGCCGAUAGAUGAGCCCGCGUCUGAUUAGCUAGUUGGUGAGGUAAUGGCUCACCAAGGCGACGAUCAGUAGCUGGUCUGAGAGGA
RNAcentral lists this ribosomal RNA (264 nucleotides) under uncultured Hyphomicrobium sp. RNAcentral's name for it is "partial 16S ribosomal RNA". It matches the Rfam family "Bacterial small subunit ribosomal RNA", at positions 8 to 300 of the family's 1533-position model. The record is from RNAcentral. Lineage: Bacteria; Pseudomonadati; Pseudomonadota; Alphaproteobacteria; Hyphomicrobiales; Hyphomicrobiaceae.